AUGCUUGUUCACGGUGACCAAACAUGCUUCAUUACUGGUCGAUGUAUCGCCGAAAACUUCAUCUACGCAGCCGACUCGUUGAAUUGCUGCCACAAAUGCAAAGCUGACACCAUGGUCCUUAAACUUGACUUCAGAAAGGCUUUUGACUCAAUCUCCUGGACCUCCUUAAUUAAAAUUCUUCGACACCGUGGCUUCCCAACCCGCUUCUGUAAUUGGGUUGACGACCUACUAACCUCCGGAAAAACUGCUAUCUCUCUAAACGGUAUCCCUGGUAGCUGGAUACAAUGCAGGAAUGGCCUGCGGCAAGGUGACCCCAUCUCACCCUACCUUUUCAUCAUAGUAGCUGACGUUCUCCAGCAGAUGAUC
This 366-nucleotide ribosomal RNA is filed under the name Triticum aestivum (bread wheat). RNAcentral describes it as "partial small subunit ribosomal RNA". Lineage: Eukaryota; Viridiplantae; Streptophyta; Magnoliopsida; Poales; Poaceae. The record is from RNAcentral.